GGGGGAGCAAGCGUUGUUCGGAUUUACUGGGCGUAAAGGGCGCGUAGGCGGCCACCGCAAGUCGGUUGUGAAAUCUCCGGGCUUAACCCGGAAAGGUCAAUCGAUACUGCGGGGCUAGAGUGCAGAAGGGGCAACUGGAAUUCUCGGUGUAGCGGUGAAAUGCGUAGAUAUCGAGAGGAACACCUGCGGCGAAGGCGGGUUGCUGGGCUGACACUGACGCUGAAGCGCGAAAGCUAGGGGAGCGAACGGGAUUAGAUACCCCGGUAGUCCUAGCCUUAGACGAUGAAUGCUUGGGUGUCUGGGGUUUUAUAGUCCCCGGGUGCCGUCGCUAGCGCUUUAAGCAUUCCGCCUGGGGAGUACGGUCGCAAGACUG
RNAcentral lists this ribosomal RNA (373 nucleotides) under uncultured organism. RNAcentral describes it as "bacterial SSU rRNA". It matches the Rfam family "Bacterial small subunit ribosomal RNA", at positions 528 to 896 of the family's 1533-position model. The record is from RNAcentral.